AUGGAGACAAUGGCUACUCUAGAGGAAUCUCGCCUCAUCGGGAGAGGGAAUGAAAAAGAGGAAAUCAUCAAACUAAUCUCAAAUAAAGAUCCCCAGCAAUUUCAUGUGUUCUCCUUGUGGGGAAUGGGUGGUAUUGGAAAAACAACACUAGUAAGGGAUAUCUAUCAAAGCCAAGAGAUUAGUAGCAUGUUUGAUAAGCGUGCUUGUGUCACAGUCAUGCGCCCUUUCAACUCAGCAGCACUCCUUGAGAGCUUAACUAUGCAAUUCAGAGAUAAGAAUGAAGAUACAAAAGAGAUAGAUUUAAGGAGAUGUUUAGAAGGAAAGAGAUAUUUGCUUGUUCUUGAUGAUCUAUGGUCCAUAGGAGAGUGGGAUGCUAUAAAACAAUAUUUGCCAGAAACGGCACCAAGCUGCAUAAUAGUCACCACAAGGGAAGAGAAUAUAGCGAAGCACUGCUCCAAGGAUGAAAGAAAUAUAUACCCUCUUCACCAUCUGGGCCCUGAUGACGCAUGUACCCUCUUCACCAAAAAGGUAUUUAAGGAGACCGUAAGUUUGGAUGAGCGAUAUCCAGAGUUGGUUGAACCAGCAAAACUGAUAUUGAAGAAGUGCAGAGGGCUUCCCCUUGGACUAGUCAUCAUAGGUGGCUUCUUAGCAAACCAACCAAAAACUGCUUUUGAAUGGAGAAAAAUGAAUGAGCAUAUCAGUGCUGAGUUGGAGUUGAAUCCAGAGCUUGAGACCAUAAAAGCAAUCCUUAUGAAAAGCUAUGAUGGUUUACCCUAUUACCUCAAGGCUUGUUUCUUGUAUCUGGCCAUCUUUCCUGAAGACCAGCAGAUUGCACGGAGACGCUUAGUGCGUCGUUGGAUUGCGGAGAGUUACUCAAGUGAGGUACGUGACAAGUCUGUGGAGGAAGUAUUGGACUCUUACUUCAUGGAACUUAUAAGCAGGAGCAUGAUCCUACCAUCUCAACAGUCAGUUCAUAGUAGGAAAGGAAUUGACUCCUGCCACGUCCAUGAUCUCAUUCGUGAAAUUGCCAUCUCAAAGUCUAUGGAGGAAAACCUUGUUUUCACAUUGGAGGAAGGGUGCAACUUAAAUAACCAAGGCACAGUGCGUCAUCUUGCUGUAAGCAGCAACUGGAAGGGAGAUCAGUGUGAGUUUGAGAAUAUAGUAGACCUGUCCCGUGUACGAUCAUUGACAGUGUUCGGAAAUUGGAGAUCGUUUUACAUUUCUGAUAAGAUGAGGUUACUUCGAGUGCUGGAUUUGGAAGGCGAGUGGGAUCUUGUUGAUCAUCACCUUCAGCACAUUGGGAAGCUUGUACAUGUGAGAUAUCUUUCUCUAAGGGGACAUGCUGAUAUACAUCACCUGCCAAAUUCGUUGGGGAACCUGAGACAACUCCAGACACUAGAUAUUUCUGGCACGAGCAUAGUGAAGCUACCAAGGGCCAUCAUCAAACUUGUGAAGAUGCAACGCAUUCUUGCUAGUGGCAGACAAUGGACUUCAGAUGGUGUUGAAAUGCCAAGAGGGAUUUGGAAACUGAAGUCCCUGCACACACUGCAUACCGUGGACAUCUCAGUGGGAAAGGCUGUUCUAGAAGAUAUAAAAAGGUUGACCCGGUUACACAAGUUAGGGUUGAGAGGCAUCAACAAGAGAAACGGUCAAGAGUUGUGUUCAGCAAUUGUGCGUCUCAGCAGCCUGGAGUCCUUGUCACUGCGCUCACACGGAGAGCCAGGUUUAUCAGGCUGCUUGGAUGGCCUGUCCUCACCUUCAGAAAACCUGCAGAGCCUCAAGUUGACAGGCAAGCUGGUUAAACUGCCGGAGUGGAUCCAGAGACUCAAAAAUCUCGUUAAGCUGGAGCUAGAGUGGUCGAGCAUAACGGAGCAUGAUGCGGCCAUACAAGUUCUUGGGAACCUAGCAAACCUGGCCACCCUACGUCUAUUGGAUGGCUCAUUCGUUGGUGAAGAGGUUCAUUUCAGUUUCCGGCGGGAGGCAUUCCCGAGGCUGAAGGUGCUGCAGCUGCAUAUGAUAGAAAACAUCAAGUCGGUGGGAUUUGAAGAAGGAGCAGCCCAUAAGCUUGAGUUGCUGCAGUAUUGUGGUUGGAGCAGUGACAUCAGGGUUGGGCUGUUCUCUGGGUUACUAUACCUCCCAAGCCUCAAGGAAUUUAUGCUGUAUUGGGGGAACUGGGAGAAGACUGAGUUCGUGGAGCACUUGCGAGGCCAGCUGGCAGGGCCCGUUUUGAAGAGUUGGGACGGAGAGUAG
RNAcentral lists this ribosomal RNA (2250 nucleotides) under Triticum aestivum (bread wheat). Its description in RNAcentral is "partial small subunit ribosomal RNA". Lineage: Eukaryota; Viridiplantae; Streptophyta; Magnoliopsida; Poales; Poaceae. The record is from RNAcentral.